GACGAACGCUGGCGGCGUGCUUAACACAUGCAAGUCGAACGGGCUCUGUCUGGCUGUGUGCUGGGUGGGGUUAGUGGCGACCGGGUGAGUAAUACGUGAGUAACCUGCCCUCUUCUUUGGGAUAAGCCUUGGAAACGGGGUCUAAUACUGGAUAUUCCUGUCUGGUCGCAUGGCUGGGUGGGGAAAGUUUUUUCGGUGGGGGAUGGGCUCGCGGCCUAUCAGCUUGUUGGUGGGGUGAUGGCCUACCAAGGCGUCGACGGGUAGCCGGCCUGAGAGGGUGACCGGCCACACUGGGACUGAGAUACGGCCCAGACUCCUACGGGAGGCAGCAGUGGGGGAUAUUGCACAAUGGGCGCAAGCCUGAUGCAGCGACGCCGCGUGGGGGAUGACGGCUUUCGGGUUGUAAACCUCUUUCGUCGGGGGACAAGGCUCUGCUUGGUGGUGGGGUUGAGGGUACCCGGUGAAGAAGCGCCGGCUAACUACGUG
This 486-nucleotide ribosomal RNA is filed under the name uncultured bacterium. Its description in RNAcentral is "partial 16S ribosomal RNA". It matches the Rfam family "Bacterial small subunit ribosomal RNA", at positions 28 to 507 of the family's 1533-position model. The record is from RNAcentral.